GAUGAAGAACGCAGCGAAAUGCGAUAAGUAAUGUGAAUUGCAGAAUUCAGUGAAUCAUCGAAUCUUUGAACGCACAUUGCGCCCGCUAGUAUUCUGGCGGGCAUGCCUGUCCGAGCGUCAUUUCAACCCUCAAGCCCCCGGGCUUGGUGUUGGGGAUCGGCGAGCCUCCGCGCCCGCCGUCCCCUAAAUCUAGUGGCGGUCUCGCUGUAGCUUCCUCUGCGUAGUAGCACACCUCGCACUGGGAAACAGCGCGGCCACGCCGUUAAACCCCCAACUUCUGAAAGUUUGACCUCGGAUCAGGUAGGAAUACCCGCUGAACUUAAGCAUAUCAAUAAGCGGAGGA
RNAcentral lists this unclassified non-coding RNA (343 nucleotides) under soil metagenome. RNAcentral's name for it is "partial contains 5.8S ribosomal RNA, internal transcribed spacer 2, and large subunit ribosomal RNA". The stretch from base 1 to 120 matches the Rfam family "5.8S ribosomal RNA", at positions 35 to 154 of the family's 154-position model. The record is from RNAcentral.